This is a non-coding RNA of Equus caballus (horse), 2466 nucleotides long. Lineage: Eukaryota; Metazoa; Chordata; Mammalia; Perissodactyla; Equidae. The record is from RefSeq and is a predicted model, not a curated record.
ACAAGCAUGACCAGUUAGUCAUCACGUAAAAGAAAAAACUAAGGAUACAUGUUAUAUAUCACUAUAUCACAUAUGCCCAAAUGUUAGUUUUAAUUAUUAGAACACUUUCUACUUCAUUUAGAUACCUAUUUAAUUCUACAACAUGCUGCAUAGAUGUCUCUGAUGUAAAUCUAGCCCUCACUGCAGAAGUCCCCACACCAGUAAAAAAGAACAAAACCGCAUAUAUAAAUACUUGCUUAAAAUUGGAAAACAAUUCAUUAAGAAACGAAAUUAUUUCGCAAAAUUUAAAUCACUUAGUAAUACUACAGCGAAUGAAGUUACUCUUGCCAAAUUCCGCAGUUUGGCCUAGCCGUUUAUUUUCCUCUCUCUAAAUCCCAGGGCUACUUUCUUCCAAUCUCCCUGAUUAGUCUGCCAUUUUAAUGCAAACAACGUGCACAGCACAUUAGUAAAUAUACAGAAUUCCUGUCUUUUGACAUAAAGCUUGUCGUUACAACUCUUUCCGGCAGCUUGGUAAGUAAAACACUAUAUAAAAGCGCUGACAGUCACGUGAUGAUACCGGCGGGUCUUCCUCUCUUACUAGUCAGAGGAUAAGCUACUCCAGCCCAGUGGUUUCAAGUCAUCUUCACUUAUUAAGCCGCACCCCCUUUAGGGCAGCAGCCGCCGCACCAACCAGGCUAAACCACAGCUCCCGCCGGCGGAAGCAUCCCUUCCACACCCGCUGACGGGCAGGGCCGAUGGAUAGGUGUGGACGCUGCACGCUCUUUACUCCCGGCGCGCACUCGCGUCACUGCAGCCCCUGCGACUGUCACGGUCCCCAGGAACGAACGAGGGAACUUUACGGCAUCUGGGGGGCCCCGGGUCCCAUCCCGCCCCGCCGCGCGCGGCUUCUUACCACGCAGGAAUCCUCCAGAGCAGCGGAGUUAGCAUACCAGAGAAGCCCGCCCCCUCGGGGGCGGGGGCGGGGGCGGGGGCGGCACUUAGGACCGGAAGCAUGUCGCCCCUGAGAGCGCGUCACUUCCGGCGGGCCCAGCCGGGUCUGGCGGGAGCUCCCGUAGAGGCGUUGGGUGUCGGAUGACGGGUAACUGCGGCUAAGGGAAUGUGGAGCCCCUGGUGUUUAAAGGGCGCUGCGCUGGACGGCGGGGCCUCAAAGAUGGGGAGCGUUCAUCCAUGCUGUCUGGAACUCCAGCUCGGUGGGCGAGAUGAACUCGAGCGUCAGUGGGGUGGGAGACCCCGGAAAGUCCUCCUUGAGAAAGUGACCUUUGAUCUGGACUUGGAAGAACGAAAAUGUGAUGACAUUGGCAGCGAGAGGAGUUAAGCGUUUACAGGCAGGUGUAAGUUAAAAUUACUAGCGCAGUGGGAGUGGAUCGCUGUGAUAGAAAUCUAAAAAAGACGUCUGGGGCGUUAUUGGGUGCAGGGCGGUGCCUCAAGGGCCUCCUGCCUAGUGCUGUUAAGCAUUCAAUUGAAGUAUCACACCUGGUGACUAAAGUUCUCUUGUUAACAGAAAAACCCUAGUCUCCUAGACAUCUCAUUAUCUCAACAACCCCUCCUAAACGCCUACCAUCACCAGUUACACGUAGUGGAAAAAAUGGCAUCACAUUCGCUCAGUUCACCAGGACCGCUACUUCCGUCCGUAUCAUCCUGCGCCAUCCAUUUUACCACUUAAAUAUCUAUUUGUUUACUGCUACCUCCCUUGUCCCAGGUUUCAUCCUGUCUCACUUGGAUUACUGGCAGCUGUUCUGGGCAUCAAUUCUUGCUCCGCUCCCUCUAACCCAUUUUCCAUUCCUUAGCCAAGUGAACUUUUGAAAAUGUAAGUUAGAUUGUUGCUCUCCAGCUUGAAUCUUUCCAAAGUUUGCCAUUGUUCUUAGAAUGAAGUUCAAACUGCUUAACGUGGUGUUAAGUCCCUGCUUACUUCACUAGUCCCACCUUGCCCAGUCUGCCCCUCUUUGAGCUCCAUGCAUAGGAAGCUUCUCUCAGUUUCUCCAAUGCCACAUGUACCUUGCUAUCUCCAGCCCUUUACUUAUGCUCUUCUCUUUGUAUGGUGGUACUCCUUUUUUUCUAAUUAAUUUCUACUCACUCUUAAGGCUUCUGACAUUUUAUUCUCAAGUCAGCCUUCCAAUGUUCCUCCCCGCCAAACUGGAUCAAUACCCUACUGUACGCUCAUGGCAGUCUGUGCUUCCUUAUAGCACUUUUCAAAUUUGUAAUUACAUAAGGAAUUGUGUAAUAAGUUGUUUACUGUAUCCCCAUUGCCUGGUAUAUUUAUAUUGUAUAUGGUAUAUUUAUAUUGUAUGUGGUAUUGUAUGUGUAUAUUGUAAAUGGUAUAUCGUAUCCCCAUUGCCUGGUAUUGACUUGGUGAUCAGUACGUUUUGUGUUAACUAAAUGAAGAAUAAAUACUGUGCAAUGUUUGUUAAACAAGAAAGUGAUUUUCUUUAAGAGGAAAGAUUAAAGUCAAUUCUGUAGGAAUAUUGA